Molecule: ribosomal RNA, 328 nt
Filed under: uncultured eukaryote
Lineage: Eukaryota
Description: partial 18S ribosomal RNA
Rfam family: Eukaryotic small subunit ribosomal RNA
Source: RNAcentral
CCCUUAGAUGUUCUGGGCUGCACGCGCGCUACACUGAUGCACUCAACGAGUUUACGACCUUGCCCGAUAGGGUUGGGUAAUCUUUUUAAAAUGCAUCGUGAUGGGGAUAGAUUAUUGCAAAUAUUAAUCUUGAACGAGGAAUUCCUAGUAAGCGCAAGUCAACAGCUUGCGUUGAUUACGUCCCUGCCCUUUGUACACACCGCCCGUCGCUACUACUGAUUGGAUGUUUAAGCGAGGUUCUCGAACUGCUAGCGACUUAGCUUCGGUGAGGUCGCAGUGUGGGAAGUGAACCUAGCUUUGGUGUCUAGAGGAAGUAAAAGUCGUAACA